AGCGAACGCUGGCGGCAGGCCUAACACAUGCAAGUCGAACGAACUCUUCGGAGUUAGUGGCGGACGGGUGAGUAACACGUGGGAACGUGCCUUUAGGUUCGGAAUAACUCAGGGAAACUUGUGCUAAUACCGAAUGUGCUCUUCGGGGGAAAGAUUUAUCGCCUUUAGAGCGGCCCGCGUCUGAUUAGCUAGUUGGUGAGGUAAAGGCUCACCAAGGCGACGAUCAGUAGCUGGUCUGAGAGGAUGAUCAGCCACAUUGGGACUGAGACACGGCCCAAACUCCUACGGGAGGCAGCAGUGGGGAAUCUUGCGCAAUGGGCGAAAGCCUGACGCAGCCAUGCCGCGUGAAUGAUGAAGGUCUUAGGAUUGUAAAAUUCUUUCACCGGGGACGAUAAUGACGGUACCCGGAGAAGAAGCCCCGGCUAACUUCGUG
Molecule: ribosomal RNA, 433 nt
Filed under: uncultured bacterium
Lineage: Bacteria
Description: partial 16S ribosomal RNA
Rfam family: Bacterial small subunit ribosomal RNA
Source: RNAcentral